Numida meleagris (helmeted guineafowl) is the source of this 2164-nucleotide long non-coding RNA. RefSeq lists it as uncharacterized. The transcript is spliced from 5 exons. The record is from RefSeq and is a predicted model, not a curated record. NCBI's taxonomy places the organism in Eukaryota, Metazoa, Chordata, Aves, Galliformes, Numididae.
UUAAGGUGACUGCAGCAGAGCCAAUAGCUCUGACAGUAACUGAAGAACAGAUGCAGAUCCCUGACCAGAGAAAGGUCCCAGACCCCUGCACGUGGAAGGUCACAGGUCCUGCUUUCAGUCAGAUCCAUUGCAGUGUGAUUUCCAUGACUCAAAAAGAAAAACAACCAAGCACUGCUAUAUCCAGCUGGUGUAAAUACAGUGCAGUUGAUCUAGUGUAACCAAACAGCUCAAGAUCCAACAACUGAUAACAAGGAGAAUUGCUGUGGGAGCAUUUCAGAGUAACAUAGAUGUCAGAGGCUGAUGUUGAGCCUGGAACCAGCCCAACUGCAAGGAAUGGGACCCUCAGAGGCUGUCCUUGCCUAUCUCACCUGUGCAGCAAUGUGAUUGCUUGGAGCGGAUUAUUUAAGAACUAACUCUAUGUGAUCAAACAUAUGGCAGAAAUCACUCAUGCCUUGACUGUGUUUUACAUGCACCUGAAGUGGUCAGAAGAAACUCAUUCAGCUGUGGCUGUCUCAGCAAUAAGGAAGAAUAGUUAUAUGAGGGCUGCUCUGGUAUACAUGAACCUAAUGCACUUCUUGAGGUCUACUGCUGGAAGUUUUCUUCUUUUGAGUACCUAAAAAACAAUUAGCCAGUACACUUUUAGUAAAAUAUUGGCUCUUUGAAAGGGAAUAUGUGUGUGCUUGCAUCUUUGUAAUUCAGCAACGAGUGGAUUCAUUAUGAUCAUUAGAUUCCUGUGGUGGUGUUAUAUCAGGUUUGCUUCCUGAAAAUGUACAUGUUGACAUAGCAUCGUUUUGCAAAAAGUGGAAGAAAAUACAUGAAAGUGCAAGUUCUGGAAGCUUCUAUAUAAAGAUUUUCAUUUACAUAUAUGACAGCAGUUCCUGUUAUGGGCUAGAAAUAAUGCUAAGAAAGGUAAGUGUGGCUACAAGAUUUAUAUGGGUAAAUUUUCUACCAAGUAGAAUGGAUAGAGAAAUGGUAUAUAUGUAAUAAAUUAGUUUGCAAAGUCUGAGACUGUCCCUGCUAACUUGCCUAGCCUAAACUGAUAAUUUUGACUCCCUGCACGGCCUGUGGAAAAAGCUUCCUGGGUAGUUUCAGUCCACGUAUUGUAGGCAUCAGAGCAGAGAAUUCAUUGUUCUCUGGAGCUAUUACUCUGCACACUGGCUAUGAAUUGAGCCUACAUGUCUAAUUGCUGAGGUUAGUGAAAAGUAGACUCCCCGAAGACAUGUUAGAUUAGCUAGUGGCUCUUACUGAUGCAGAAACCCAGUCUUACCCUGUUGCCACCCAUUCCUUUGAGGUCAGAUCUAUCAUCCAGUCACACUUACAUUCCUUUUAUAUCUGUGUUACACCAAGCUUUUUCCAAAUACAGCAUUAGGCACUUAUUCUUUGGCCUCCCUUACAGCAAUAGUUUAGCUUUGUUUAAUAUGUUCUCCAGUAUUUAAUAAAUAUAUUUAGUUAAAAGAUCAGUUUCCCACUAGAGAAGUUUGUCACCUACUUAGAAGUAUUUUCUUUGAGUUUUGACACAGCGAACUGAAACAAAUGGCAAGUUCUUCAGCUGCAGCUUCUUCCAAGCAGCAGUAUUUCUGCUAAAUCUUAUGAAAAAGCCUAUGGAAAUUUACACAACAUAAUAAAAAUCCCAUUUAUUGUUUACUUACAUUGAUCAAUUACCAUUUGUACCAUAAACAUCACAUCAGUGUACAGGCACCAAUGAAACAAUUAAUACAUUUUAAAAAAAUAAAUAAGAUCUGGUAGUAGAUUCUGGGAAGCUUUUAAAAUUAUUUGGCUUUUGUUAUGGCUUUUAUUGCUUUCAUAGACAUUUCCAAAUCUGGGGAAGUUGAUUUAACUUAUGGAAUUACUUUAUGUAUAUCCAUAAAACUAUUUUGAAAUUUGAAUCAAUAUGUUUUAUUAUAUUUCAUUCUCAUCAAUGUCAGCCUCCCUAAAAUCACUGCGCUUGUAUUUUCUAGUACACAUUGUGUCUCCCUGACAAUAAUUCUAAUACUAUUUGUACAAGAUGUUCUGUAGAUGUAGCCUUAUGGUGCUAAUCAUGCUUGGCUCACUCCCUUGAACUGGAUCCAGAAUAACCUCAUUUUGCAUUAGGGUUAUCCUCUCUGAAGAGUCCUUACAUCCGUUAUAGAGAUUUGGAAUCUGAAGGAAUGAGAUCUUGUCAAGG